Small nucleolar RNA from Vulpes vulpes (red fox), 130 nucleotides. NCBI's taxonomy places the organism in Eukaryota, Metazoa, Chordata, Mammalia, Carnivora, Canidae. The record is from Ensembl.
AAGCCAGCCAAUGAAUCUGCUUACCUGAAUGUGUUCCUGUAGGAACUUAGGAAAAGCUGGUGAUAGUAAAGACAUGUUACGAGCCUUAAAGACAUUGAAGUCAUUAAGGCCCCUGAAAAUGGCUAUAAGA